This 445-nucleotide ribosomal RNA is filed under the name uncultured bacterium. RNAcentral's name for it is "SSU rRNA". It matches the Rfam family "Bacterial small subunit ribosomal RNA", at positions 26 to 518 of the family's 1533-position model. The record is from RNAcentral.
AGAGCGAACGCUGGCGGCAGGCCUAAUACAUGCAAGUCGAACGGAUCCUUCGGGAUUAGUGGCGGACGGGUGAGUAACACGUGGGAACGUGCCCUUUGGUUCGGAACAACUCAGGGAAACUUGAGCUAAUACCGAAUGUGCCCUUCGGGGGAAAGAUUUAUCGCCAUUGGAGCGGCCCGCGUCUGAUUAGCUAGUUGGUAGGGUAAAGGCCUACCAAGGCUACGAUCAGUAGCUGGUCUGAGAGGAUGAUCAGCCACACUGGGACUGAGACACGGCCCAGACUCCUACGGGAGGCAGCAGUAGGGAAUCUUGCGCAAUGGGCGAAAGCCUGACGCAGCCAUGCCGCGUGAAUGAUGAAGGUCUUAGGAUUGUAAAAUUCUUUCAGCGGGGACGAUAAUGACGGUACCGCAGAAGAAGCCCCGGCUAACUUCGUGCCAGCAGCCGC